This 662-nucleotide ribosomal RNA is filed under the name Acinetobacter sp. EVA11. Its description in RNAcentral is "bacterial SSU rRNA". It matches the Rfam family "Bacterial small subunit ribosomal RNA", at positions 26 to 682 of the family's 1533-position model. The record is from RNAcentral. Lineage: Bacteria; Pseudomonadati; Pseudomonadota; Gammaproteobacteria; Moraxellales; Moraxellaceae.
GAAAUGAACGCUGGCGGCAGGCUUAACACAUGCAAGUCGAGCGGAGAGAGGUAGCUUGCUACUGAUCUUAGCGGCGGACGGGUGAGUAAUGCUUAGGAAUCUGCCUAUUAGUGGGGGACAACAUUUCGAAAGGAAUGCUAAUACCGCAUACGUCCUACGGGAGAAAGCAGGGGAUCUUCGGACCUUGCGCUAAUAGAUGAGCCUAAGUCGGAUUAGCUAGUUGGUGGGGUAAAGGCCUACCAAGGCGACGAUCUGUAGCGGGUCUGAGAGGAUGAUCCGCCACACUGGGACUGAGACACGGCCCAGACUCCUACGGGAGGCAGCAGUGGGGAAUAUUGGACAAUGGGCGCAAGCCUGAUCCAGCCAUGCCGCGUGUGUGAAGAAGGCCUUAUGGUUGUAAAGCACUUUAAGCGAGGAGGAGGCUACUUUAGUUAAUACCUAGAGAUAGUGGACGUUACUCGCAGAAUAAGCACCGGCUAACUCUGUGCCAGCAGCCGCGGUAAUACAGAGGGUGCAAGCGUUAAUCGGAUUUACUGGGCGUAAAGCGCGCGUAGGCGGCUAAUUAAGUCAAAUGUGAAAUCCCCGAGCUUAACUUGGGAAUUGCAUUCGAUACUGUUUAGCUAAAGUGUGGGAGAGGAUGGUAGAAUUCCAGGUGUAGCGGG